RNAcentral lists this non-coding RNA (23 nucleotides) under Arabidopsis thaliana (thale cress). The record is from RNAcentral. Lineage: Eukaryota; Viridiplantae; Streptophyta; Magnoliopsida; Brassicales; Brassicaceae.
CCACUGUCCCUGUCUACUAUCCA